This 515-nucleotide ribosomal RNA is filed under the name uncultured bacterium. Its description in RNAcentral is "partial 16S ribosomal RNA". It matches the Rfam family "Bacterial small subunit ribosomal RNA", at positions 28 to 523 of the family's 1533-position model. The record is from RNAcentral.
GAUGAACGCUGACGGCGUGCCUAAUACAUGCAAGUCGAGCGAAUGGAUUAAGAGCUUGCUCUUAUGAAGUUAGCGGCGGACGGGUGAGUAACACGUGGGUAACCUGCCCAUAAGACUGGGAUAACUCCGGGAAACCGGGGCUAAUACCGGAUAACAUUUUGAACCGCAUGGUUCGAAAUUGAAAGGCGGCUUCGGCUGUCACUUAUGGAUGGACCCGCGUCGCAUUAGCUAGUUGGUGAGGUAACGGCUCACCAAGGCAACGAUGCGUAGCCGACCUGAGGAGGUGAUCGGCCACACUGGGACUGAGACACGGCCCAGACUCCUACGGGAGGCAGCAGUAGGGAAUCUUCCGAAAUGGAGGAAAGUCUGACGGAGCAACGCCGCGUGAGUGAUGAAGGCUUUCGGGUCGUAAAACUCUGUUGUUAGGGAAGAGCAAGUGCUAGUUGAAUAAGCUGGCACCUUGACGGUACCUAACCAGAAAGCCACGGCUAACUACGUGCCAGCCGCCGCAGUAA